This 435-nucleotide ribosomal RNA is filed under the name Triticum aestivum (bread wheat). RNAcentral describes it as "partial small subunit ribosomal RNA". The record is from RNAcentral. Lineage: Eukaryota; Viridiplantae; Streptophyta; Magnoliopsida; Poales; Poaceae.
AUGCCAUGGCCAUCAUUUAAAUGCUAUUCGGAAGCAACCAGUCCUCAAGGUCCACGUUCAGCAACUCAACAAUGGCGUUCUUCUCAUCAAGCAAGUCAGUCGAAGUGCAUGAAGGCUGGCGAUGCUAUAUCGAACACGGAAUUGAAAGCCCAAGUUUUAUUCACUGGCAUUCUAGUGGAUUUUGUGAGUACGCAAACUGGUAGAGUUUGUGAUUUCUUGAGAACCUUUGCCCAAGAGGAGAAGCUUAACUCUAUUUCUGAAGCGAGCGCACAAGCUCUGAGGCUGUUUUAUGUUGAACUGAUACCUUGGGCUUAUUCUUCAUUACAUUUCAUCAAGCCUUGCAGUUCUGGGCCAGGGAUGCAGAGGUGUGGUGCAACUGGAAGGCUGUCACCUGAAGUGCCAUGUUCUACUAUCAACAUAAUGUUUCUUCCAUGA